GUCAUGUGAGAGCUGUAGUCAUGUGAGAGCUGUAGUCAUGUGAGAGCUGUAGUCAUGUGAGAGCUGAAGUCAUGUGAGAGCUGUAAUCAUGUGAGAGCUGUAGUCAUGUGAGAGCUGUAGUCAUGUGAGAGCUGUAUGUAAACUACCUGCGCAUGCGCGUGACAUGCGACUCACAUCACUAGGACGUGGAGUCACAGAAUAUGAAUAUGCUAACUAAAGGGACGGCUGAUUGAGAAGACGGGAAGAAACAGGGGUGGCCAGCCGGCGGGGCCACGCCUCCUGCGUACAACUACCUGAAUUCAGAAGGGGAACUUCACCAGCCAAUAUUUUGGGAACAACAGCGCCGAUUAUAAUCCUUUGGCCAGUCUAGUUAUCCGCUGAUAUACAUCGCCUUCACAGGUAUGUCCUUCACGUGCCUCGGAAGUCCUCCUCAUGACUAAUAGUGAUUAGUCACACUCAAGUGGCUGAUAUAAAUUGCUGAAGGUCAGUGAUAAAUCCCCGCGCUUAAAUCUUUAUGAUGUCUGGACUGACAUUCAAGAGUAAUUUAAAAGACAAAAGGGGAUCGGCAUCGGGAGCUAGCUACAGAACAAGUGGCCAUAAAUACUGGCUUAGUGAAGCCUACAGAUGUAGCCAUCAUUCUUCAGCGCCUGGAGAUGUUCUUGAAGGCCUGUCAUAAUUAUUAAGGGAGAGCUGGAGAUUGGUACAAUCAGAGUACCUCAAGCUGUGGUGAUCAAGGUGGUGAUCAAGAACGCGCAUGCGUUCGAAACGCGUCCAUAGGAGUUGUUUGCUGACCAGGUGAAGGUGGAUGGUGUGUGCUCUGUAUUUUUAAAGAAAAGUGAA
This is a long non-coding RNA of Hyla sarda, 840 nucleotides long. RefSeq lists it as uncharacterized. The record is from RefSeq and is a predicted model, not a curated record. NCBI's taxonomy places the organism in Eukaryota, Metazoa, Chordata, Amphibia, Anura, Hylidae. The transcript is spliced from 3 exons.